GCAUAUCAAUAAGCGGAGGAAAAGAAACUAACAAGGAUUCCCCUAGUAACUGCGAGUGAAGCGGGAAAAGCUCAAAUUUAAAAUCUGGCGGUCUUUGGCCGUCCGAGUUGUAGUCUGGAGAAGCGUCUUCCGCGUUGGACCGUGUACAAGUCUCUUGGAACAGAGCGUCAUAGAGGGUGAGAAUCCCGUCUUUGACACGGACUACCAAUGCUUUGUGAUGCGCUCUCAAAGAGUCGCGUUGUUUGGGAAUGCAGCGCAAAAUGGGAGGUGAAUUCCUUCUAAAGCUAAAUAUUGGCGAGAGACCGAUAGCGAACAAGUACCGUGAGGGAAAGAUGAAAAGCACUUUGGAAAGAGAGUUAAACAGUACGUGAAAUUGCUAAAAGGGAAACGCUUGAAGUCAGUCGCGUCGUCCGGAACUCAGCUUUGCUUCGGCUUAGUGCACUUUCCGGUUGACGGGCCAGCAUCGAUUUUGACCGCUGGAAAAGGGCUGGAGGAAUGUGGCACCUUCGGGUGUGUUAUAGCCUUCAGUCGCAUACAGCGGUUGGGAUCGAGGAACGCAGCGCGCCUUAUGGCUGGGGUUCGCCCACAUUCGCGCUUAGGAUGCUGGCAUAAUGGCUUUAAACGACCCGUCUUGAAACACGGACCAAGGAGUCUAACAUGCCUGCGAGUGUUUGGGUGGAAAACCCGAGCGCGUAAUGAAAGUGAAAGUUGAGACCUCUGUCGUGGAGGGCAUCGACGCCCGGACCUGACGUUUUCUGAAGGAUCCGCGGUAGAGCAUGUAUGUUGGGACCCGAAAGAUGGUGAACUAUGCCUGAAUAGGGUGAAGCCAGAGGAAACUCUGGUGGAGGCUCGUAGCGAUUCUGACGUGCAAAUCGAUCGUCAAAUUUGGGUAUAGGGGCGAAAGACUAAUCGAACCAUCUAGUAGCUGGUUCUGCGA
RNAcentral lists this ribosomal RNA (937 nucleotides) under Trametes ochracea. Its description in RNAcentral is "LSU rRNA". It matches the Rfam family "Eukaryotic large subunit ribosomal RNA", at positions 38 to 964 of the family's 3401-position model. The record is from RNAcentral. Lineage: Eukaryota; Fungi; Basidiomycota; Agaricomycetes; Polyporales; Polyporaceae.